UCACGCUCACACACACGCACAGAUAUACACUCGAUGACCGAUACCGUCUCCCUCUUUCUGUUAUAUUCUCCGUCUCCUCAGCUUGCUCUGCACCACUGAGACUUUUGUGUUUUUCCCUGUGUAGUGUAUGGUGGAACCAGUUCUCUGCGGCACCAGCACAUGCUAUUCUAGCCACAAACUGAGCAGCAGCAGCAGUAGCAGCAGCUCCUGCCUCUCACUUUGCUGCUUGUGAAUUUGUUUGCUUGCCUUUGCCACUGGUACUUUUCCUCACAGCGCUGAUUUUCUUUGUCCAUAAGGAAUGUUUCCCUACAAAGUCCUGAGCAUGGCAGGGUGAGGAAAAGAGAAAUCAUGGCUGUGGAAGGUGGAGAAGAGGCAGCAGUGACUGAACUGUGACGAGGCUGGAAUGAAGCAGAGAUGCAAGGCUGCAAGUCAAGAGGGAAAGCACCAACUCAAGAGUGAGGAAGAGGGAACGGAAAGAAGGAAUCAAGUUCGAAUCCGGAAAGAAAUGCGGGAAAAGGUGACAAAACGGCCAAAGGAGCUUUUGGAUGUAGUAGAAGCUGUACAGAAUUUGACAAAAAAAAGGGUGAAUUAAGACAUAGUGUAUGAGGAAAGGUUGCAGACAGCAGCAGACAAUUUGAUUGCAGCUGCCUCCAAACUGCCUACAGGGGUCACCACACUGGAUCGUCUGCCUCCAU
This is a long non-coding RNA of Solea senegalensis (Senegalese sole), 695 nucleotides long. RefSeq lists it as uncharacterized. The record is from RefSeq and is a predicted model, not a curated record. NCBI's taxonomy places the organism in Eukaryota, Metazoa, Chordata, Actinopteri, Pleuronectiformes, Soleidae. The transcript is spliced from 4 exons.